Molecule: ribosomal RNA, 70 nt
Filed under: Alkalibacterium gilvum
Lineage: Bacteria; Bacillati; Bacillota; Bacilli; Lactobacillales; Carnobacteriaceae
Description: 16S rRNA. Bacterial SSU
Rfam family: Bacterial small subunit ribosomal RNA
Source: RNAcentral
AUCAAAUUGAGAGUUUGAUCCUGGCUCAGGACGAACGCUGGCGGCAUGCCUAAUACAUGCAAGUCGAACG